UACGUAGGUGGCGAGCGUUGUCCGGAUUUAUUGGGCGUAAAGAGCCCGCAGGCGGCUUGGCAAGUCUUUGGUGAAAUCUCCCGGCUUAACUGGGAGGGUGCCAGGGAAACUGCCAGGCUUGAGGCAGGGAGAGGGAUGCGGAAUUCCCGGUGUAGCGGUGAAAUGCGCAGAUAUCAGGAGGAACACCGAUGGCGAAGGCAGCUCGCUGGGACGUGACUGACGCUGAGACGCGAAAGCGUGGGGAGCAAACAGG
RNAcentral lists this ribosomal RNA (253 nucleotides) under uncultured bacterium. Its description in RNAcentral is "partial 16S ribosomal RNA". It matches the Rfam family "Bacterial small subunit ribosomal RNA", at positions 524 to 776 of the family's 1533-position model. The record is from RNAcentral.